AGUGAACGCUGGCGGUAGGCCUAACACAUGCAAGUCGAACGGCAGCACAGUAAGAGCUUGCUCUUACGGGUGGCGAGUGGCGGACGGGUGAGGAAUAAAUCGGAAUCUACUUUUUCGUGGGGGAUAACGUAGGGAAACUUACGCUAAUACCGCAUACGACCUACGGGUGAAAGCAGGGGAUCUUCGGACCUUGCGCGAUUGAAUGAGCCGAUGUCGGAUUAGCUAGUUGGCGGGGUAAAGGCCCACCAAGGCGACGAUCCGUAGCUGGUCUGAGAGGAUGAUCAGCCACACUGGAACUGAGACACGGUCCAGACUCCUACGGGAGGCAGCAGUGGGGAAUAUUGGACAAUGGGCGCAAGCCUGAUCCAGCCAUACCGCGUGGGUGAAGAAGGCCUUCGGGUUGUAAAGCCCUUUUGUUGGGAAAGAAAAGCAGCAGGUUAAUACCCCGCUGUUCUGACGGUACCCAAAGAAUAAGCACCGGCUAACUUCGUG
This 492-nucleotide ribosomal RNA is filed under the name uncultured bacterium. RNAcentral describes it as "partial 16S ribosomal RNA". It matches the Rfam family "Bacterial small subunit ribosomal RNA", at positions 29 to 507 of the family's 1533-position model. The record is from RNAcentral.